UUGAAACAGGUGAUGUCAACAGGUGAUUGUAAUGAUACAGAAGCAGCAUCCAGGAAGAUGCAUCCAACAAAUGGGCUGAGUUUGAGCGAGGAUGCCAGAGCUGGAGAUGUGGUGCAAUGAGGACGACCCCCUGCCCUGGUGCCCUUAAGCAGGCUCACUUGUGGGUCCCGGAUGUGUAAGAGGAGAACAGGAGGUAGAGCAUUCAGCUACCAGGCUCCUCUCCUGUAGAACCAGCUCCCACUCUGGCUUCUGGAGGCAGAAUCCAUCUCUGUAUAUCAGGCUGUGAUGCAACACUGACUGCACCACGGGAUGAGACUCAAACAGUGACUCUGAUGACCCCACCGAUCCCUGAAGCCAUCAUCUGCACACAACAUCCUGAAAACUU
Paralichthys olivaceus (Japanese flounder) is the source of this 385-nucleotide non-coding RNA. NCBI's taxonomy places the organism in Eukaryota, Metazoa, Chordata, Actinopteri, Pleuronectiformes, Paralichthyidae. The record is from RefSeq and is a predicted model, not a curated record.